UACGUAGGGGGCGAGCGUUGUCCGAAUUUAUUGGGCGUAAAGCGCGUGUAGGCGGCUCUUUAAGUCAGAUGUGAAAUCCUGCAGCUCAACUGCAGAACUGCAUUUGAUACUGGAGGGCUUGAGUGUGGGAGAGGAAAGUGGAAUUCCUGGUGUAGCGGUGAAAUGCGUAGAUAUCAGGAGGAACACCCGUGGCGAAGGCGGCUUUCUGGCCCACCACUGACGCUGAGACGCGAAAGCUAGGGGAGCGAACGGG
This 253-nucleotide ribosomal RNA is filed under the name uncultured bacterium. RNAcentral describes it as "partial 16S ribosomal RNA". It matches the Rfam family "Bacterial small subunit ribosomal RNA", at positions 524 to 776 of the family's 1533-position model. The record is from RNAcentral.